Molecule: ribosomal RNA, 496 nt
Filed under: uncultured bacterium
Lineage: Bacteria
Description: partial 16S ribosomal RNA
Rfam family: Bacterial small subunit ribosomal RNA
Source: RNAcentral
GAUGAACGCUGGCGGCGUGCCUAAUACAUGCAAGUCGAGCGAACAGAUGAGGAGCUUGCUCCUCUGACGUUAGCGGCGGACGGGUGAGUAACACGUGGAUAACCUACCUAUAAGACUGGGAUAACUUCGGGAAACCGGAGCUAAUACCGGAUAAUAUAUUGAACCGCAUGGUUCAAUAGUGAAAGACGGUUUUGCUGUCACUUAUAGAUGGAUCCGCGCCGCAUUAGCUAGUUGGUAAGGUAACGGCUUACCAAGGCAACGAUGCGUAGCCGACCUGAUAGGGUGAUCGGCACAACUGGACCUGAGAAACGUCCAGACCCCCACGGGAAGGAGGAGUUAGGAAUCCUGCCGAAUGGGGCGAAGGCCUAACGGAGCAAAGCGGGGGGAUGAAUGAGGGUCUUCGGAUCGUAAAACUCUGUUAUUAGGAAAAAAAAAAUGUGUAAGUAACUAUGCACGUCUUGACGGUACCAAAUCAGAAAGCCACGGCUAACUACGU